GGGUCCAUUUACGUACAUAUUGGAAAUGGAUGUGGAUUUGUAUUUGCGUUUCAAAUGAAAUAUAGUAAAAUUUCAACAUAAUGUCAAAUUAAAAUACCUUAUCGUUUCAAUUUCAUAUCUAUCCAUAUCUAAGAAUGUUAAACUCCAUUGUCCGUCUAAAGCAAAGUACACAACCAAAGAGGAAAUCACAAAAUCAUUUCUGGAAUGCUUUGCUCGUUUGUGAGAAUCAUUAGAACUUCCAUUUUCUCUUUCAAAACUCUAACCACAGCUAAUUAAAAGCACGAAUCAUGUACUAGAUAAAAAAUAAAGUUAAUCAAUUCAAGCACAGGAAUCUAAAAUCACACAUCUUAAAAAAAAAAAA
Molecule: unclassified non-coding RNA, 361 nt
Filed under: Hevea brasiliensis (rubber tree)
Lineage: Eukaryota; Viridiplantae; Streptophyta; Magnoliopsida; Malpighiales; Euphorbiaceae
Source: RNAcentral